AGCCUUGAUUACAAACCAAUCGUG
Molecule: non-coding RNA, 24 nt
Filed under: Arabidopsis thaliana (thale cress)
Lineage: Eukaryota; Viridiplantae; Streptophyta; Magnoliopsida; Brassicales; Brassicaceae
Source: RNAcentral